GAAAUGCGAUAAGUAAUGUGAAUUGCAGAAUUCAGUGAAUCAUCGAAUCUUUGAACGCACCUUGCGCUCCUUGGUAUUCCUUGGAGCAUGCCUGUUUUAGUAUCAUGAAAUCUUCAAAGUAAAUCUUUUGUUAACUCAAUUGGUUUCUACUUUGGUAUUGGAGGUCUUUGCAGCUUCACACCUGCUCCUCUUUGUUCAUUAGCUGGAUCUCAGUGUUAUGCUUGGUUCCACUCGGCGUGAUAAGUUAUCUAUCGCUGAGGACACUGUAAAAGGUGGCCAAGUUAAAUGCAGAUGAACCGCUUCUAAUAGUCCAUUGACUUGGACAAUACUUUUAUGAUCUGAUCUCAAAUCAGGUAGGACUACCCGCUGAACUUAAGC
Molecule: unclassified non-coding RNA, 378 nt
Filed under: plant metagenome
Description: partial contains 5.8S ribosomal RNA, internal transcribed spacer 2, and large subunit ribosomal RNA
Rfam family: 5.8S ribosomal RNA (bases 1-105)
Source: RNAcentral